ACGUUAGCGGCGGACGGGUGAGUAACACGUGGGUAACCUACCUAUAAGACUGGGAUAACUUCGGGAAACCGGAGCUAAUACCGGAUAAUAUUUCGAACCGCAUGGUUCGAUAGUGAAAGAUGGUUUUGCUAUCACUUAUAGAUGGACCCGCGCCGUAUUAGCUAGUCGGUAAGGUAACGGCUUACCAAGGCGACGAUACGUAGCCGACCUGAGAGGGUGAUCGGCCACACUGGAACUGAGACACGGUCCAGACUCCUACGGGAGGCAGCAGAU
RNAcentral lists this ribosomal RNA (273 nucleotides) under uncultured Staphylococcus sp. Its description in RNAcentral is "partial 16S ribosomal RNA". It matches the Rfam family "Bacterial small subunit ribosomal RNA", at positions 89 to 354 of the family's 1533-position model. The record is from RNAcentral. Lineage: Bacteria; Bacillati; Bacillota; Bacilli; Caryophanales; Staphylococcaceae.